CAGCAGCCGCGGGAAUACAGAGGGUGCGAGCGUUAAUCGGAUUUACUGGGCGUAAAGCGUGCGUAGGCGGCUUUUUAAGUCGGAUGUGAAAUCCCUGAGCUUAACUUAGGAAUUGCAUUCGAUACUGGGAAGCUAGAGUAUGGGAGAGGAUGGUAGAAUUCCAGGUGUAGCGGUGAAAUGCGUAGAGAUCUGGAGGAAUACCGAUGGCGAAGGCAGCCAUCUGGCCUAAUACUGACGCUGAGGUACGAAAGCAUGGGGAGCAAAUAGGAUUAGAUACCCCCGUAGUCCCUGUCUCUUAUAC
This 301-nucleotide ribosomal RNA is filed under the name uncultured bacterium. RNAcentral's name for it is "partial 16S ribosomal RNA". It matches the Rfam family "Bacterial small subunit ribosomal RNA", at positions 509 to 807 of the family's 1533-position model. The record is from RNAcentral.